RNAcentral lists this long non-coding RNA (234 nucleotides) under Elaeis guineensis (African oil palm). RNAcentral describes it as "long non-coding RNA (EGUI_LNC037727)". Lineage: Eukaryota; Viridiplantae; Streptophyta; Magnoliopsida; Arecales; Arecaceae. The record is from RNAcentral.
UAAAAUGGUUUACAUAUGAAUGUAAAAAUUUUUAAUUUCAUAUAUGCUCAAUUACCUUUCAUUUUUCUUCUCCUUUUUGUCAACAUCAAAACAGGAAGAACUAAAGCGAAGGAUUGAAGAUAAAUUGAAACAAGCAUCCAUUGAUAUAUAAAGUUUAUUACAAGUUGGUAUUGUUUACAAAAGGUAGCCUUACAAAUAAUACAGCAUUUUUCAUUACACUCCAUAAUAAAGUAG